Molecule: small nucleolar RNA, 129 nt
Filed under: Neogobius melanostomus (round goby)
Lineage: Eukaryota; Metazoa; Chordata; Actinopteri; Gobiiformes; Gobiidae
Description: Small nucleolar RNA SNORA13 (ENSNMLG00000015208.1)
Rfam family: Small nucleolar RNA SNORA13
About the family: ACA13 is a member of the H/ACA class of snoRNA that guide the sites of modification of uridines to pseudouridines.
Source: Rfam by way of RNAcentral
UGCCUUUAUGUGUUGCCCUAUCAUUACUACCUCCAGUGAUUAGGGUGUCAAAUAAGGCAUACAGUAAACCAUGUGGCUGUGUUAUUGAGUGGCAAUUGGCCUCUUAAAUAAACAUCUGCAUGGACACAC